Long non-coding RNA from Lingula anatina, 286 nucleotides. Lineage: Eukaryota; Metazoa; Brachiopoda; Lingulata; Lingulida; Lingulidae. The record is from RefSeq and is a predicted model, not a curated record.
UGAAUGAACAUGGGAGGAAGCACAAUUUCCUUGGGGUAGGACAGAAGAAAUGGUUUCUUUUGUAUACAAAAGAGUCCCUGGGAAAACUGAAGAAGGUUGUGGUGUACAUCAGUGAUAGACCAGGAGCUCAAUGGAAUGUGCUGGAUAUAACAGUAUAUGAUACAGUGUCUGGCUGUGAAUCCCACUUCAGCAGCAAUGGAUGCCUCACAGUGGGAUACACCACUUUGGAGUCUUGUAAGAACUACAGGUUUGGACUGCAAACUUGCCUUCUGUAUUUGUGGUCUUG